RNAcentral lists this ribosomal RNA (504 nucleotides) under uncultured bacterium. RNAcentral describes it as "bacterial SSU rRNA". It matches the Rfam family "Bacterial small subunit ribosomal RNA", at positions 17 to 518 of the family's 1533-position model. The record is from RNAcentral.
UUAUGGCUCAGGAUGAACGCUGGCGGCGUGCCUAACACAUGCAAGUCGAACGGGGUUAAGGGAAAUUUCGGAUGGAACUUAACUAGUGGCGGACGGGUGAGUAACGCGUGGAUAACCUGCCUCACACUGGGGGAUAGCAGCUGGAAACGGCUGGUAAUACCGCAUAAGACCACGGUGCCGCAUGGCACCGGGGUAAAGAUUUAUCGGUGUGAGAUGGAUCCGCGUCUGAUUAGCCAGUUGGCGGGGUAACGGCCCACCAAAGCGACGAUCAGUAGCCGGCCUGAGAGGGUGAACGGCCACAUUGGGACUGAGACACGGCCCAAACUCCUACGGGAGGCAGCAGUGGGGAAUAUUGCACAAUGGGCGCAAGCCUGAUGCAGCCAACGCCGCGUGAGUGAAGAAGUAUUUCGGUAUGUAAAGCUCUAUCGGCAGGGAAGAAAGGCCCGAAAGGGAGAUGACGGUACCUGACUAAGAAGCCCCGGCUAACUACGUGCCAGCCGCGGC